AGUUUGUCUUGUUGCAAAUACUCGGGUCAUUAAGAGUAAUCAAUGACCCUGCCACUGUCCAAAAAAUCCUAGAGCUGCAGAAUUUGCUUUCUGAUGGGUCUCGAAACUGAACACGAGGCUCCCUCUCUGCACCAGGACACUUCCAAAUGCAUUGCCCCGUGAGCAGCUGAUCUGGCUUCAUGGGCACCUCCUCAGGACACUACUCCUUACAGAGGCACAGUGGAUCAACAGACAUGAAUGUCUUUGUCAGGACGGAGCUAGGCAGAUAAGUGUCGGGUGUGGACGGAAGAAAGGCAGGUGAGUGGAUGAUGUAAACUGAGCUGUGUUACUUGUAAGCAGUUAAGAUAACUGCCUGUCAUUGGCCACAAAAUCAGAGCUGUGCAGACAUGCCCUAAAAUUAGAACAAUUUAUACCACUUAGCAGUAAAACAAAGUGUUAUUUUUAAAGGCUGGACUGAAGAGCUGUGGAGAAGGACUAUGAAAAACAGCACUCUGAGAACUGACUGAUACCUGGUGAAACUUCACAUUUGGUAUAGACCUAUAGUAAAUUAAUCAAGACCUUGUUCUACGCCUCCAGCCUGUGAAAGACUACUGAAAUUCAUUCUGCUUUACAACACCCAAACAGGAGUCAAAUAUAUAUAGUUAAAUUAAUUUGUUGGGUGUUGUAGGGAGUAAAUAAAAAAGGUCAUUCCCCUGGACCUAAUUUGUCUCACCCUUCAUGUUUGUGUGCAUCUCUGAAUGCCAAGAUACAAAAGAAAAUCUCAUUAACCUUAAGAUUCAGGUAGCACCCCUGCUUCCAAAACAGACAUUCAGAGAGUCAGCCUCUCUUUUCAAGCACAAAAUGAGCAUCGAAAGUUAAAAGCUGCAAAGGGAAUCACUGAAGAAUUUCAACAAAGAUGAAGACACUUUUGAAUACUAAUUAGUUUCCUUGUAAUUGAAAAAAGACCCUGAUAACUGUAACCAGCAUCUAUUGCAGCAGGAAUUCUGCAGCAUGGCUGAUUUAACCUUUAGGUUAGCUCGGGGACUGAGUGCCAGAUGAGACUUAGACCUUCAAGUAAAAUUGAUGGAGUACCCAAUUUUACCAGCAUUGAUGAAAGGAAAGAGUGGGUGGCAAACAGAUCACAAAACAAGGAUUUUACAGGUUUUGGGGAUGGGUCUUGAACAGCGAGAACUGCACCCCUUUGAACAAGUAAAAAGGCAAACCAACAAAUAGGAACGGCAGGGUGAAGGGGGCUCAGCCAGGCAUUUAAGUUCAGUUGACCAAAAUAUGGGCUUGUCCGCAAGGGAAGUUAAUCUGAAAUAAGGUGAGGUGUGAAUUGCUAUUCUGGAAUAACUCUGCUUGUGGACACUCUUAUUCCAGAAUGAGAGCAUCCAGACAGGGAGAUAAUCCAGAAUAGCUAUGCCAUUUUCCCCAUGUAGACAAGCCCUAAGAAGAGAGACUGCUGUGCUCAGUCACUCAAUCUUGACUGCAUCUUAGAAGGAAGGUAGGUUGUCUUAAAGGGGGAGGUGGUUUGCACCCAUUGUUAUUAGACUCCCCCCCCCCAUUUUUUAUUUUAAAAAAAGCAGGUCAAGGUGGGUAAAUGGCCAAUAUCUAUUUGUGAAUUUUGGACAUUUAUGGCUCCUACCUUACCCACUCUUCUUUUCAGACAGGUGCCCCAACCAGAUCACCAGUAAUCUUUACUCCCUCCCCCCAAUAUCUCCUCUUACUCCACGAGGAUGUUCCUUCCAGGGGUCAUAGAGCUGUGGGCCUUUGAAACAGAAGCAUAGCAGCAGCAGGAGCCCUUCCUUUCUCAUCAUGACAAUCACUUCCCAAAGGCAUGAGGUCCCCAUCUCUGACUCUAGCACUUCAUGCAUUAUUGGCUGCUAGACUCGUAUCAGAAUGAGGACGAAAAGAGCAAAAUGGAAGUCAGAAUGACACCAUAGGGGGCCUGAAAACACACAAUUUGCCACAGUUACUAUAGAAGUUAAGAGCUGGCUGCAAAAGCAGCAAUGAACUUUUCACAGAAACAUUUUGUCUACAUUCUGAAGUUUCUAUCAGCUCCAGUGGAAAUAACUUGGAGAAACCAACAAACUUCUCCAAGCAUUGAUCCCGGACUAAUGAUCACAGAUCCAGCAUUUUGAUUCUCGCACUGAGAAACAGGCCUACAGGCAAAUGCCAAAGUGACUCAACGUAAAGAAGAACUUCCAAGUGUUACUCACAGGUUGCGAUUUCCGUGAUCAGCUCAGCUGAAUUGUGGCAGCCCUGCACUAUGUUCCUUGUCCACAGUGAGAGGUCUCUGCUAGUCUCUGUCCUGAAGAGAUGGGUUUCAAUCCCUUGCCUUGUACCG
Molecule: long non-coding RNA, 2326 nt
Organism: Chelonia mydas (Green sea turtle)
Lineage: Eukaryota; Metazoa; Chordata; Testudines; Cheloniidae
Exons: 2
Source: RefSeq, a predicted model, not a curated record